Molecule: non-coding RNA, 3697 nt
Organism: Xyrichtys novacula (pearly razorfish)
Lineage: Eukaryota; Metazoa; Chordata; Actinopteri; Labriformes; Labridae
Source: the annotation of a GenBank genome assembly
GGAGGAGACUGAACCGGCGGUCAAUCUUCUGCCAGAAAGCUAGGACGGUGCAUCCGAAAGAUGCAUUUUAAUUAAACCAUACCUGAUUUUAGCGCAGGCUGCUCUCGUUGUUACAUACCCGAGUAAAACUGGUUGAUCCAUUACCAAAACUUCGACUCAUAACAUCAUGACUCUCAUUAUAUUCAUUUACAUGGCCUUGUUCUCAUAAAGUGAUGCAAUAUUAGGGGAAUGACUUAAAUGCGAAUUAAUUCCUUUAACAUUAUGACUUCAUGCCUCGAGUUUUCAUUUCAUGCCCUGAUACUCUGUGGUAGUAUUUGGUUGCUAGUAUGAAUCUGUGUGAUCGGUACGGUUUUUAAUUCAAAUUCAAAGUCACGUGGUCAUAAUAUUGUUAUUAAAAGAAGGCGGAUUUUAAGGGGUUUCCUCAUUGUUUAACUUCUCAUAAAAACGCUUAAAUAAGGCACAGAACUUACCGCUUGGUAUCUGUAAGUAAACCCCAUUAGCUAAAUUAAACCAGACCGGUAAAUGUUAUGUAGCUAGCAAGCUGAUGACUUCAUAAAAAAAAACAUAACUUACCGAAACAACUGCAAAGAUCCCGAUUUCACAUGUCGGUUAACACAGUUUACUGCAGAACAACUCAUUUUUCCAAUGCAUAAAAGAGAAAAACGAUGGAAAAAUGUAAUCCUCUUCUCCGCUAGCAAACCCGAUCGGUCUUGACGAUGAACGAAAAAGAGCGACGCACAAGCAGCAAGUGCAAAGUGUAGAGAAUGACGCAAUUUCCUGUUUUCAUAACUCCUAAUAACUUUUUAAAAUGGAGCUGCAGAGAGAAAAAAAGACCUGAACACAAACCAGUCUAAUAAUAACUACAUGUCAACAUCGCAGUCGGGGGUGAGAAAAGUGUAUUUUCUGUGAAAUCAAUUUCUAAAGGCCGUCCGCCACUCCAUUCACUUUGCUGGCAGAAGUGGGGUUUAUGACUUGUACUGCAGCCAGGCUCUAGGGGGUGCUGUUCUCGGAGUGGCUUCACCCGGCGAGGAGACAGACGGCGUCCAUCUUAUAUACAGUCUAUAGCUGCGUCCGAAUUGCCAAGUAGUAGUCGAAGUAGUAUCUAGCAUGUCCGAAUUGGCCACCGGAGCGAGUAGCAUGCUACUUCAGAUACUACUUCAGAUACUAGACACGCCCACAUUGUAGGUUGGUCGCGGUGCAUCCUACGGGCAUGCUACUGACCCAAAAUGCACCGCGGGCUUCUUCUUCGUCCUCUUAAAAGUUGUAGAAGCGCAUGUGAUGCUAGCGCCACCAGCAUAGAUGCGUCGCGAACGCCGGCUGGCCACAGCAGCGCGCACCAUGUCGGAGCAGCAGCAGGCGGGACCGCAGCAGUACUGAUGUAAGUUUCAUGUAACUUCACACACUGUCCUAAAAAAUGUGCGGUUGUAUCUCUUUGUCAUGUCAUGGUGUCAUAUUUGCCCAAGUAAUCAUUUUAUGAGCAAAUAUGUGGCGACAUCAUGGAGGUAAAGCUCACUUAUUCCAUCAUUAAACUGCACAGCUGCAGUACUACAGCCAGGCCCUCAGAUGAGGGGCUUCAGUCACCACUGUCUGCACGGGCGCAGUACCUACUCUCUGCCUGCGGGGGUCGUCUUUCCCCACCGCUCGUCUAGUGUGUCCGAAUUGGGCCAACGUGUUUAGUAUGUAGGAGUAGGAUCUAGCAGUAGUAUGUAGCAGUAGCAUGUAGUAUCCGAGCGGGCAAUUCGGACGCAGCAUUUGAGUUGAAGCCAAAAAGCUCUCGGUAUUUCCGGGGUUUUUCUUCAUUUCCUGACACCAGCGCUGCGCAGUAGCAGUCGCCGAGAGUCGCUGUGAUGACGCUAGGCUCAAACAGCGUAUCGAUAGAUAAAUAGAAAGACUAGAUAACGUACCUACGCUGUAAGCCAAUGGGGACUGGUGUCGUCACACGGCGGCCAUCUUACCUAGAGGCUGCUGGCCCACUGAUAACAUUAAUGUCUAUGGUGCAUGUACUGUUUCCAUGAUCAUAUCCUACUCAAAUUUCAACUGAUAAUAACGGAUUGGUUUGUUAUAAACGCCAGAGAUGUAGUUAUGUUUCUGCAUAUUUACGGAUAAUUAUAACCAUGGACUUUCAUAUUAAAUUAAAAAAGGUGAUAGUGGAGCAAUACCUGCCAUAGCUGUACACAUACACACACAGUGAAAUUAAAUUGUCAGGGUUUUUGAUAUUAAACAUUUAAUAGUUAGAUAUUUUAUAGUUCUAUUUCAUAGAUGUAUUAAAUAUAAAGGGGUAAGUUGACCCACAUGAUAUUUUAAACUUAAUCUUAAAACUUUAACAAAUAAUGUAUUUACUGAUGAAAAAUAAUUUCAUAAGACAUUUCCUUUUUUCAAAUAGUCUUAAUUAUUAUCUUUGGGUUAUUAAACAAUAUAAAACCAAUUAAAGCUUGCUUUUCAGAACCUUUUAAUAUUCGCAAUCAUUAAUAUAAUAUUGAAAACUUCCCUUGAAUUAGUGUAUUUCUCAAAAAAUACAAAAAACAACCCAAAAAAAUAAAAGAUCAUUCUGCUAAUUUGAGUAGCAAAGACCUAAUAAAAAUUCCAUAAAUUGUGAUUCAUAUUCAUAAUAACUCAUGUGUAUAGUUUUAAAGAUCAAGGGGAUGGUUCGUUCAUCUUACCCGUUUUGCUACAUAUAUUUUAAUAUAAAAAUUAAAAUAAACACAUUCAGUAACAUGAAAUAAAGGUUCUUUUAUUAAACAGAGGUGAACAAUUACAAAACAAUUCAACAUUCACUCCAAACCAACAGUCACACUUAACCACGCAGCAUUCACUCCAAAUCAACAGUCACUCACACGGUCGCAACAAAACCAACAUAUAUACAAGUGCGCAGACAGUUUGAGCUACUGCCCCUUGAAAAGGACUGUUUUGGUGAGCUUCUGUCUCACAUUGUCUUUCUGUGAGCUACGCGUAGUCAUUUUAGCAAUGUGGUGCAGCCUUAAUUUGAAAAACAGGGACACAACUAGAGCUAAAUUAUGAUAUUGUUGUGGUAAUUCAUAUAGCCUAUGCUUGAAUGCCAUUAUGUAAACUUAAAUAACAAGUCAAUAACAGUAACAUGUUAAAAAAAAUGUGAAAAAGAAAUAUUCAAUGAUUAUUAUGUAAACAAAUGGUAGAAACAUUUCUAAAACGUCAGGGGGAAAAUAACUUGUAUUUCACAAGUACAAAUUUAACUAAGUUAGUAACAAUUAUCCUAAAUAUGUCCCUCAAGUCAUUUCUUAUGAAUGAAAAGUGAUUCCACGGGCUCUUGUUGGAAAAGAACGUUCAUUUGAGCAUCCAUGUGCUGCACAAAAGUCUGGCAUCUUGGACUGUAGGGGGUAUUUCUGUAAACACAAAGCCAGGCAUUUACUGUAUCACAAUGAAUCUAAAUUAAGGAUAUAUUUUACUAAUGAAGCAGCUUGGAAAUCAUAUUAUGUAUGUUAAACCAAAGUAGUAUGUCUAGGCUACUUUGCAAAAGUCCCAGUGGACCACUGUGUCACAUUCACAACGUCUUGUUUCUUUGCUAGCUAAUAAACCGUUACUGCAGCCCAUCAAAAGAGGGUGCUGUUCUCGGAGUGUCUUCACCCAGCGAGGAGGCAAACUCUGUCCAUUCUAAGGCUGUGUCUCAUUUCAGAGACCGCAUCGGGAUAAGCACGCCGUUAUGUACCCUUCCUGUGUCCCA